AGAAAACAGACAUGGGAAAGGAAACAAGAGUAAUGGAUCAGACCAUGAAAAGGUUAUACUUGACAAGAGUACUUCUCAACAGAAAUCGGUGAAAGAUGCAUCAGAAACUGAAGUGGAAGUUUCUUUCACUGAAUACCUAAGUACUAAUUUAUCUCAAGACUCUAUGGAGAUGAGUGAAGAAAAAGACCAGUCUAGGAUCAACAAGGGAAGCGAAUCAUUCCUGGUGGGUCUCCUCAGGAAGGGCUUUGGGGAUUUCUCAAGAUCUAAACACCACGUGGAGGGUGAAACUGAAGAAUCUAAUAUUUCUGUUAAUGGGCAACCUAUUCCAGACAGUAUGGUGAAAAGGGCUGAAAAGCUAGCUGGGCCAAUUCUUCCUGGAGAUUACUGGUAUGAUUUUGAAGCUGGAUUUUGGGGUGUGAUGGGACAACCUUGCCUUGGCAUAAUUCCUCCUUUUAUUAAGGAGUUUAAUUAUCCCAUGCCAGAAAAUUGUGGUGCUGGAAACACCAGUGUCUUUGUCAAUGGGAGAGAACUUCAUCAGAAAGAUUUAGAUCUACUUGCCAGUAGAGGACUUCGAUAAGUUCUAUACUGUUUCAAUUUCAGGAGAAGUUCUUGACCAGGAAUCCGGCAUGGAGCUAAAAAGCCUUGGUAAACUUGCCCCUAC
Molecule: unclassified non-coding RNA, 661 nt
Filed under: Hevea brasiliensis (rubber tree)
Lineage: Eukaryota; Viridiplantae; Streptophyta; Magnoliopsida; Malpighiales; Euphorbiaceae
Source: RNAcentral